This 100-nucleotide small nuclear RNA is filed under the name Castor canadensis (American beaver). Lineage: Eukaryota; Metazoa; Chordata; Mammalia; Rodentia; Castoridae. The record is from RNAcentral.
GUUCAACUGCACAUAUACUAAAUUUAGAACAAUACAGAGAAGAUUAAUAUGGCCCCCAGACAAGUAUAACAUGCAAAGUCAUGAAUCAUUUCAUAUUUUU